UACGUAGGUGGCAAGCGUUGUCCGGAAUUAUUGGGCGUAAAGCGCGCGCAGGCGGUCUCUUAAGUCUGAUGUGAAAGCCCACGGCUCAACCGUGGAGGGCCAUUGGAAACUGGGAGACUUGAGUGCAGAAGAGGAGAGUGGAAUUCCAUGUGUAGCGGUGAAAUGCGUAGAUAUAUGGAGGAACACCAGUGGCGAAGGCGACUCUCUGGUCUGUAACUGACGCUGAGGCGCGAAAGCGUGGGGAGCAAACAGG
Molecule: ribosomal RNA, 253 nt
Filed under: uncultured bacterium
Lineage: Bacteria
Description: partial 16S ribosomal RNA
Rfam family: Bacterial small subunit ribosomal RNA
Source: RNAcentral